UUAAGAUUUAUAAUAUAUAAAUUUGUUUUAUUGUCUGUAAAAAGAAAAGAAAAACUUAAUCUUAUUAUGGU
RNAcentral lists this transfer RNA (71 nucleotides) under Diplosoma listerianum. RNAcentral describes it as "transfer RNA-Asp". The record is from RNAcentral. Lineage: Eukaryota; Metazoa; Chordata; Ascidiacea; Aplousobranchia; Didemnidae.